GGAGCAAAGGAGGGGGCAGGGCGGCCAGGGCCCGGCUGCCUGUGGGGUAGGGAAGGCGGGCUGGGGAUCCUGGGGUUUUUCCUCUGACAGAAGGAAAAGCAGC
Corvus hawaiiensis (hawaiian crow) is the source of this 103-nucleotide long non-coding RNA. RefSeq lists it as uncharacterized. The record is from RefSeq and is a predicted model, not a curated record. NCBI's taxonomy places the organism in Eukaryota, Metazoa, Chordata, Aves, Passeriformes, Corvidae. The transcript has 3 exons.